GUGGGGAAUCUUGCGCAAUGGGCGAAAGCCUGACGCAGCCAUGCCGCGUGGAUGAUGAAGGUCUUAGGAUUGUAAAAUCCUUUCACCGGUGAAGAUAAUGACUGUAGCCGGAGAAGAAGCCCCGGCUAACUUCGUGCCAGCAGCCGCGGUAAUACGAAGGGGGCUAGCGUUGCUCGGAUUUACUGGGCGUAAAGGGCGCGUAGGCGGACAUUUAAGUCAGGGGUGAAAUCCCGGGGCUCAACCUCGGAACUGCCUUUGAUACUGGGUGUCUUGAGUAUGAGAGAGGUGUGUGGAACUCCGAGUGUAGAGGUGAAAUUCGUAGAUAUUCGGAAGAACACCAGUGGCGAAGGCGACUCACUGGCCCAAUACUGACGCUGAGGCGCGAAAGCGUGGGGAGCAAACAGGAUUAGAAACCCUGGUAGUCC
Molecule: ribosomal RNA, 425 nt
Filed under: uncultured bacterium
Lineage: Bacteria
Description: partial 16S ribosomal RNA
Rfam family: Bacterial small subunit ribosomal RNA
Source: RNAcentral